GCCUGCUUGGUACCAGUUUGUGACUGCAACAUUCUGUCAUUUUAACUGGAACCACCUAUCUAGCAACCUUUUCUUUCUGUAUAUUUUUGGAAAACUCGUUGAAGAGGAGGAAGGAAACUUUGGAUUGUGGCUUUCUUAUAUAUUAACUGGUGCUGGAGCUAACCUUGUCUCAUGGUUGAUUCUUCCAAGAAAUGCUGUUUCUGUUGGUGCGUCUGGUGCAGUGUUU
Molecule: unclassified non-coding RNA, 226 nt
Filed under: Hevea brasiliensis (rubber tree)
Lineage: Eukaryota; Viridiplantae; Streptophyta; Magnoliopsida; Malpighiales; Euphorbiaceae
Source: RNAcentral